This 501-nucleotide ribosomal RNA is filed under the name uncultured bacterium. RNAcentral's name for it is "partial 16S ribosomal RNA". It matches the Rfam family "Bacterial small subunit ribosomal RNA", at positions 29 to 523 of the family's 1533-position model. The record is from RNAcentral.
AUUGAACGCUGGCGGCAUGCCUUACACAUGCAAGUCGAACGGCAGCACGGGUGCUUGCACCUGGUGGCGAGUGGCGAACGGGUGAGUAAUACAUCGGAACGUACCUUAUCGUGGGGGAUAACGCAGCGAAAGCUGUGCUAAUACCGCAUACGCCCUGAGGGGGAAAGCGGGGGAUCGCAAGACCUCGCGCGAUUAGAGCGGCCGAUGCCUGAUUAGCUAGUUGGUGGGGUAAAAGCCCACCAAGGCGACGAUCAGUAGCUGGUCUGAGAGGACGAUCAGCCACACUGGGACUGAGACACGGCCCAGACUCCUACGGGAGGCAGCAGUGGGGAAUUUUGGACAGUGGGGGCAACCCUGAUCCAGCAAUGCCGCGUGAGUGAAGAGGGCCUGCGAGUUGUAAAGCUCUUUUGUCUGGGAAGAAACACCGGCUCUAACACAGUCCGGGAAUGACGGUACCUGAAGAAUAAGCACCGGCUAACUACGUGCCAGCCGCCGCCGUAA